UCCUCAAUAGCUCAAUGGUGGAGCAACCGGCUGUUAACCGGUAGGUUGUAGGUUCGAGCCCUACUUGAGGAGCCA
Molecule: transfer RNA, 75 nt
Filed under: Bacillota bacterium
Lineage: Bacteria; Bacillati; Bacillota
Also listed under: 2 other names
Description: tRNA-Asn
Rfam family: tRNA
About the family: Transfer RNA (tRNA) molecules are approximately 80 nucleotides in length.
Source: RNAcentral